This 386-nucleotide unclassified non-coding RNA is filed under the name uncultured Actinomycetes bacterium. Its description in RNAcentral is "uncultured actinobacterium contains 16S-23S intergenic spacer region". Lineage: Bacteria; Bacillati; Actinomycetota; Actinomycetes. The record is from RNAcentral.
UCCGGUUUAUCACCGGCAGUCUCCCGUGAGUCCCCAACCCGCUAAAGACGGUUGCUGGCAACACAGGACAAGGGUUGCGCUCGUUGCGGGACUUAACCCAACAUCUCACGACACGAGCUGACGACAGCCAUGCACCACCUGUACACCGACUCAAAGAGGGACCGUAUCUCUACGGUUUUCCGGCGUAUGUCAAGCCUUGGUAAGGUUCUUCGCGUUGCGUCGAAUUAAGCAACAUGCUCCGCCGCUUGUGCGAGCCCCCGUCAAUUCCUUUGAGUUUUAGCCUUGCGGCCGUACUCCCCAGGCGGGGCACUUAAUGCGUUAGCUACGGCACGGAACCCGUUGAAAAGGUCCCACACCUAGUGCCCAACGUUUACGGCGUGGACUAC